UACGACCAUAUCUUUUUGAAACACCGGUUCUCGUAGGAACACUAAAGUUAAGCAACGUCGAGCCUGGUCAGUACCUAGAUGGGUGACCGCUUGGGAAUAUCAGGUGGUGUACG
This is a non-coding RNA of Acanthosepion pharaonis, 113 nucleotides long. Lineage: Eukaryota; Metazoa; Mollusca; Cephalopoda; Sepiida; Sepiidae. The record is from the annotation of a GenBank genome assembly.